Molecule: long non-coding RNA, 358 nt
Filed under: Ananas comosus (pineapple)
Lineage: Eukaryota; Viridiplantae; Streptophyta; Magnoliopsida; Poales; Bromeliaceae
Description: long non-coding RNA (ACOM_LNC039570)
Source: RNAcentral
CGUAGCAACAACACUCUUAUUUGAGUAUAGCCAAUUUGGAGUCUUAUAUAUACAGAAAAAUCAAUUACAUAUUUUGGUUCGGCCAAGUCACGGAUCAAGCCAUAUUUUGUUGUCUUAGAAUUAAAAGGAUCAAAAGUAAAAAAUAUUUGAUUAAAGUGUCCCACCAAGGCAUUCAUUUAUCUAUCUGCUUAGCGCUCAGCAGUAUUUUAUACUCUUUUGGCCUUAUUUCUAGGAUAUAUAAUUCUUUAUUGUUCUGUAAAUUAAAUAGUUGUUAGACAUUUGACAAAUGACAUGAAACUUUUUCUGAUAUGAAAACUAAAAGAAAGAAAGAAAUUUCAUCUUGAAUGAAAUCGAUCAU